AGAGUUUGAUCCUGGCUCAGGACGAACGCUUGCGGCGUGCCUAAGAAAUGCAAGUCGAACGGGGGAAACCCAGUGGCGAACGGUCGCGUAACACGUAAGCAACCUGCCCAAGAGUGGGGGACAACAGCCCGAAAGGGCUGCUAAUACCGCAUGUGGUCCACAGAAGGCAUCUUUUGUGGUCUAAAGCCUUGAGUGCUCUUGGAUGGGCUUGCGGCCUAUCAGCUUGUUGGUGGGGUAACGGCCUGCCAAGGCGAUGACGGGUAGCUGGAGAGGAUGUCCAGCCGGAUUGGGACUGAGAUACGGCCCAGACUCCUACGGGGGGCAGCAAUUAGGAAUCUUGCGCAAUGGGCGAAAGCCUGACGCAGCGACGCCGCGUGAGGGAGGAAGGGUCUCGGCCUGUAAACCUCUUUUCCUGGGGAAGAAGAAUGUGACGGUACCCAGGGAAUAAGCCCCGGCUAACUACGUGCCAGCAGCCGCGGUAAUACGUAGGGGGCGAGCGUUGUCCGAAGUUACUGGGCGUAAAGCGCGCGUAGGCGGUCUCUUAAGUCUGGGGUGAAAGGCCCAGCGCUCAACGUGAACAGUGCCCUGGAUACUGGGUGACUUGAGUCUGGAAGGGGAAAGCGGAAUUCCGGGUGUAGCGGUGAAAUGCGUAGAUAUCCGGAGGAACACCGAUGGCGAAGGCAGCUUUCUGGUCUAAGACUGACGCUGAGGUGCGAAAGCGUGGGGAGCGAACGGGAUUAGAGGUGUUCGGGGUAUCGACCCCCCGGGUGCCGUCGCUAACGCAUUAAGCAUCCGCCUGGGGAGUACGGCCGCAAGGUUGAAACUCAAAGGAAUUGACGGGGCCCCGCACAGGCGGUGGAGCAUGUGGAUUAAUUCGUCACUAACCGAAGAACCUUACCAGGGCUUGACAUNGAGUGUAAGGCUGUGAAAGCAGUCCCCUCCGCAAGGAGCACGAAAACAGGUGUUGCAUNGNUGUCGUCAGCUCGUGUCGUGAGAUGUUGGGUUAAGUCCCGCAACGAGCGCAACCCUCACCGUAUGUUGCCAGCGUAAAGUCGGGAACUCUUACGGAACUGCCCGUGCAAGCGGGAGGAAGGUGGGGAUGACGUCAAGUCGGCAUGGCCCUUACGCCUGGGGCUUCACACAUGCUACAAUGGACGCAACAGAGGGCAGCAAGAGCGUGAGCUGGAGCCAAUCCCAAAAAUACGUCCUCAGUUCGGAUUGCAGGCUGCAACUCGCCUGCAUGAAGCCGGAAUCGCUAGUAACCGCGCAUCAGCUAAGGUGCGGUGAAUACGUUCCCGGGGCUUGUACACACCGCCCGUCAAGUCACCUGAAUUGUCUGCACCCGAAGCCGGUGGCCUAACCUUUUGGAAGGAGCCGUCGAAGGUGUGGGGAGUAAGGGGGACUAAGUCGUAACAAGG
RNAcentral lists this ribosomal RNA (1418 nucleotides) under uncultured bacterium. RNAcentral describes it as "bacterial SSU rRNA". It matches the Rfam family "Bacterial small subunit ribosomal RNA". The record is from RNAcentral.